RNAcentral lists this long non-coding RNA (265 nucleotides) under Sorghum bicolor (sorghum). RNAcentral's name for it is "long non-coding RNA (SBIC_LNC013977)". Lineage: Eukaryota; Viridiplantae; Streptophyta; Magnoliopsida; Poales; Poaceae. The record is from RNAcentral.
UGGCAAUCUUAGAAACAACGCUAUGAAACUCUCCACUGAGACUGGCCUUAGAAAUCAGAACUUAAACCCUGACACCAUGUGGAUCAUGGUGGGCGUGCUGGUGAUGCUGACUCAUGAACGGUCAUCAUCUGCACUCUGCUCUACUCCCUCUAUACCUGAAAUUCUUGACGUCCUGAGCUGUUGAGCUGUUACAAAGCUUGAUGUUGUAGUCUCCGUGGUGGCUUCUUGACGUGUUUGCUAGUGGCCAAGCCGCUGCAUUUAAAGC